RNAcentral lists this long non-coding RNA (958 nucleotides) under Agrilus planipennis (emerald ash borer). RNAcentral's name for it is "uncharacterized LOC108743899, transcript variant X2". The record is from RNAcentral. Lineage: Eukaryota; Metazoa; Arthropoda; Insecta; Coleoptera; Buprestidae.
UUAGUGUAGUGGUGUGUACAUUUUAUGUAGUGGAUAAAAUGACCGGUCGAAAUUUGCGGUUUGUUUGAAUCAAGUUUUAAAAAACUAAACCGUUUGUUGUUACAUUUGAUUGAAAAUUAUCUUGUUACCCAUUUAAGGAACUUUAUAGUUAAUAAGAGCUGUUCAAUGGAUUUUUGCGUUCUAUAUUGACCAAUUCUACUGAGAAAAUUAACGGCUGGUUUGGCGUAAUUUUUGGAGGAGCCCCCCUGGUUCCAUAUCCCAAAUGUGGAGGAAUCAGCAAUUUUCGCUGUUCACCAAUACACAUUCUACAAGUACCUCUUAUGACACUGAUUGAUUACGAAAUGGAUUGUUAUUCAACAAAAAUUAGAAAGUGUAAAAUUAACAAGACUUUUAAUCGUACUUUGAUAACGUAUAUAACACCAGCCAAAAUCGAAGGCCACGUAUAACUCACCUGAAAAAACACCUAAUACAAGUAGCAUUAUAUUUGCAAGUAUAUUUGACCUUUUGACCGUCUGCAAGUUGUACUUGCAAGUCAUAGUGAGCAUUACAUUUCAAAACAUAUAAGAGGCCAAGGCUGUUGAGGAAAUAUUGUAGUUUGCAGUAGACUCAUAAGAAGACAAAUUCAGUCUGUACUCCAGUUGCUUUAUAUUACAUUUAAAAUGCCUUGUCCCUUUUUAAAUAAGUUGAGUGCUAAUUAUGUUCGAACCUAUGCUUUAAAUUUGUUAAAAACAUAUGGAAAUCAAUGUCCAGUUAUGUCUAGAACUUUCACUUCUCUUGAGGAUGUGCAAGUAAAAGAAAAUAGAAAAGAAAGUGAAGUCAAAAAAAAUUCCAAAUGCCCAUUUUUAUCAGAACUUGACAAGUUAAUGAUUAAAGAAGUAACUGAAGAUGAUACAAUUGAUAUUGGUGAUCAAAAGAAGUAUAUAUUUCCAUAUGAAAACUUUUUCCAUGACCAAAUAAU